This 442-nucleotide ribosomal RNA is filed under the name uncultured bacterium. RNAcentral describes it as "partial 16S ribosomal RNA". It matches the Rfam family "Bacterial small subunit ribosomal RNA", at positions 338 to 795 of the family's 1533-position model. The record is from RNAcentral.
CCUACGGGUGGCAGCAGUGGGGGAUAUUGCACAAUGGGGGAAACCCUGAUGCAGCGACGCCGCGUGGGCGAAGAAGUAUUUCGGUAUGUAAAGCCCUAUCAGCAGGGAAGAAGAAAUUACGGUACCUGAGUAAGAAGCACCGGCUAAAUACGUGCCAGCAGCCGCGGUAAUACGUAUGGUGCAAGCGUUAUCCGGAUUUACUGGGUGUAACGGGGGCGCAGGCGGCACGGCAAGCCUGAUGUGAAAGCCCGCGGUCCAACCGCGGGACUGCAUUGGGAACUACCGGGCUGGAGUGCCAGAGAGGUAGGCGGAAUUCCUAGUGUAGCGGUGAAAUGCGUAGAUAUUAGGAGGAACACCAGUGGCGAAGGCAGCCUACUGGACGGUGACUGACGCUGAGGCUCGAAAGCGUGGGGAGCAAACAGGAUUAGAUACCCUUGUAGUC